RNAcentral lists this ribosomal RNA (322 nucleotides) under uncultured Pseudomonadota bacterium. Its description in RNAcentral is "bacterial SSU rRNA". It matches the Rfam family "Bacterial small subunit ribosomal RNA", at positions 30 to 351 of the family's 1533-position model. The record is from RNAcentral. Lineage: Bacteria; Pseudomonadati; Pseudomonadota.
AUUGAACGCUGGCGGCAUGCCUUACACAUGCAAGUCGAACGGCAGCAUGGGUGCUUGCACCUGAUGGCGAGUGGCGAACGGGUGAGUAAUGCAUCGGAACGUACCCGGAAGUGGGGGAUAACGUAGCGAAAGUUACGCUAAUACCGCAUAUUCUGUGAGCAGGAAAGAGGGGGAUCGCAAGACCUCUCGCUUUCGGAGCGGCCGAUGUCAGAUUAGCUAGUUGGUGAGGUAAAGGCUUACCAAGGCGACGAUCUGUAGCGGGUCUGAGAGGAUGAUCCGCCACACUGGAACUGAGACACGGUCCAGACUCCUACGGGUGCUG